Molecule: long non-coding RNA, 342 nt
Organism: Nymphalis io (European peacock)
Lineage: Eukaryota; Metazoa; Arthropoda; Insecta; Lepidoptera; Nymphalidae
Exons: 3
Source: RefSeq, a predicted model, not a curated record
UACCUGAAUUAUGCUAUAUGCAUAGAACGUGCAAAAGCGUUCUGUAGUAUAACGUACAACAACGUCGGGGAUAUGCAAAUUAUCAACUAUGAUACGGAAGGUCUGCCUGUAAUACCGCCGCGACAAGCAGGCGUAGAAAUAUUCGACUGUCCAAGCGAUUGGCUGCUAAUAGCCGCCGUCCGGUUGUGUGGCGAACGUCUAAAUGAUGGCUCUAUUCUACAGGAUUUUACUUUGAAUGCGCCUGUGACAGAUGAUGGAGCGGGUCCAAUUGUAAUAUGGUUCAGAUCAGACGGAAUAUACGUCGGUCGAGGUUUCAAGUUAAGCUACCAACAAAAUGAUUGU